RNAcentral lists this transfer RNA (74 nucleotides) under Candidatus Peribacteria bacterium. RNAcentral describes it as "tRNA-Trp". It matches the Rfam family "tRNA". Rfam says of the family: Transfer RNA (tRNA) molecules are approximately 80 nucleotides in length. Their secondary structure includes four short double-helical elements and three loops (D, anti-codon, and T loops). Further hydrogen bonds mediate the characteristic L-shaped molecular structure. tRNAs have two regions of fundamental functional importance: the anti-codon, which is responsible for specific mRNA codon recognition, and the 3' end, to which the tRNAs corresponding amino acid is attached (by aminoacyl-tRNA synthetases). tRNAs cope with the degeneracy of the genetic code in two manners: having more than one tRNA (with a specific anti-codon) for a particular amino acid; and 'wobble' base-pairing, i.e. permitting non-standard base-pairing at the 3rd anti-codon position. Lineage: Bacteria; Candidatus Peregrinibacteriota; Candidatus Peribacteria. The record is from RNAcentral.
ACCCCUGUAGUUAAUCGGUAUAACGCAGGACUCCAAAUCCUGUAUGCUAAGUUCGACUCUUAGCAGGGGUGCCA